GAAAAUUCUGCUUCAGAAACAGUACCGGUACUGAAGAAGAAGAAAUCCCUGUGUCUGUUUCAAUUGCAUCGCUUUCUUCGAUUCCAGCACUGAAACACUAGGAAUUCUGGUGAGUACGCUGUUGAGGUUACGGGUGUCUCGCCAAAAGCCACGGACAAGGAUGUUCCUGACUUCUUUGCUUUCUCCGGUGUCAUUGAGAAUGUUGAAAUUAUCAGAUGUCUGGUGAUUAAGCCUGUACCGCAUAUGUGACAUUCAAAGAUGCAUAUGCUCAAGAAACUGCAUGCUUGGUCAGUGGGUGUAUUUAUCUAACUUGUGUCCGAAUUACUUGUUAUGAUGAAACAGGUGUGAUCUUGUACUCUACUAGUCAUUAAGUUGCCUCAGUGAUAAAUUCCAUAGUAUAUGUUUGUUGUAAAAUGAUUGUAAACUAGUCAAAAUUGAAUCUGUAAUCUGUUAUGUUAGGGAGCCACUAUUUUAGAUCAAAGUGUAUGAAUAAGACGCUGGGGACACUACGAAGAUGAAUUUGGUUUUUAGAACUGGCCCUCCUAUAGUCCUGAGGAUGAGACUGCUUCAACUGUAUGAGCCUUGUGGGUGUCAGGUGCUCUAACCAGAGCAGCUCAAGUUGCUUCUGAUUUGGAUACUCACAGGGAUAGGCAUUAAAUAAAGAAUUGACAUAAUCAAACACUGUCUUGUAGAUAUGUCUCCCUCUGCUAGAUAGCUUUUGAAACUUCAGUUAGUAAUACUGUUAUACUUUUACAGUACAUAAAUCCUGUUUGGAUAAUUUUUUGCACAAAUACUUA
This is a long non-coding RNA of Glycine soja, 797 nucleotides long. RefSeq lists it as uncharacterized. NCBI's taxonomy places the organism in Eukaryota, Viridiplantae, Streptophyta, Magnoliopsida, Fabales, Fabaceae. The transcript has 3 exons. The record is from RefSeq and is a predicted model, not a curated record.